AUAUCAGUCAUGCAUAGCAUAUCAAUAAGCGGAGGAAAAGAAACUAACAAGGAUUCCCCUAGUAACGGCGAGUGAAGCGGGAAGAGCUCAAAUUUGAAAUCUUAAAGGGUUUUCCCUUUACGAAUUGUAGUUUAAAGAAGUGUUUUCUGUUGGAGUUUCGGUAAAAGUUCUUUGGAAUAGGACAUCAUAGAGGGUGAGAAUCCCGUAUUUGACCGUUACUUUCCAGCUGUGUGAUACACUUUCAAAGAGUCGGAUUGUUUGGGAAUGCAGUCCAAAAUGGGUGGUAAAUUUCAUCUAAAGCUAAAUAUUGGCGAGAGACCGAUAGCGAACAAGUACCGUGAGGGAAAGAUGAAAAGAACUUUGAAAAGAGAGUUAAACAGUACGUGAAAUUGUCAAAAGGGAAGCGUUUGACACCAGUGUUGUUUAGUUGAAAAUCAAUUCAAUAAUUUUUGAUUUUGAGUAGUAUUGACUUCAUCAGCUUGCUGCUUUCUUUUCGGAAAUUAUUGAAUGCACUUUUCAGUUAACAAGUCAACAUCAAUUUCUUUUGUUGUAAAAGGGUAAGAGGAAGGUGGCUUACGCUUCGGCGUAAGUGUUUAUAGCCUUUUACCUCUGCAAUCGGAGAGAUUGAGGACAGCAGCGUAGACUCUUCGGGGUUAGAUACACUUGUGCUAAGCUAUAGCCUUGUAUAGACAACUUGUUGACUAUGCUCAGUCAUGUAGCUUACUCGCUUGUGCUAUUUUACCUACGCUUAGGAUGUUGAUGUGAUACUGCGAGCA
Molecule: ribosomal RNA, 776 nt
Filed under: uncultured Neocallimastigales
Lineage: Eukaryota; Fungi; Neocallimastigomycota; Neocallimastigomycetes; Neocallimastigales
Description: partial large subunit ribosomal RNA
Rfam family: Eukaryotic large subunit ribosomal RNA
Source: RNAcentral